This 585-nucleotide ribosomal RNA is filed under the name uncultured bacterium. RNAcentral's name for it is "partial 16S ribosomal RNA". It matches the Rfam family "Bacterial small subunit ribosomal RNA", at positions 355 to 1375 of the family's 1533-position model. The record is from RNAcentral.
UGGGGAAUUUUGGACAAUGGGCGAAAGCCUGAUCCAGCAAUGCCGCGUGUGUGAAGAAGGCCUUCGGGUUGUAAAGCACUUUUGUCCGGAAAGAAAUCCUUGGCUCUAAUACAGUCGGGGGAUGACGGUACCGGAAGAAUAAGCACCGGCUAACUACGUGCCAGCAGCCGCGGUAAUACGUAGGGUGCAAGCGUUAAUCGGAAUUACUGGGCGUAAAGCGUGCGCAGGCGGUUUGCUAAGACCGAUGUGAAAUCCCCGGGCUCAACCUGGGAACUGCAUUGGUGACUGGCAGGCUAGAGUAUGGCAGAGGGGGGUAGAAUUCCACGUGUAGCAGUGAAAUGCGUGGAGAUGUGGAGGAAUACCGAUGGCGAAGGCAGCCCCCUGGGCCAAUACUGACGCUCAUGCACGAAAGCGUGGGGAGCAAACAGGAUUAGAUACCCUGGUAGUCCACGCCCUAAACGAUGUCAACUAGUUGUUGGGGAUUCAUUUCCUUAGUAACGUAGCUAACGCGUGAAGUUGACCGCCUGGGGAGUACGGUCGCAAGAUUAAAACUUAAAGGAAUUGACGGGGUCAUAGCUGUUUCCU